RNAcentral lists this unclassified non-coding RNA (49 nucleotides) under Pseudodiaptomus poplesia. RNAcentral's name for it is "partial trans-spliced leader sequence". Lineage: Eukaryota; Metazoa; Arthropoda; Copepoda; Calanoida; Pseudodiaptomidae. The record is from RNAcentral.
AUUGUCUAAUACGACCAAGCUACAUUUGCUUGAUUCCCUUCUACAAGAG